GAUGAAGAACGUAGCGAAAUGCGAUACGUAAUGUGAAUUGCAAAUUCAGUAAUCAUCGAGUCUUUGAACGCACAUUGCGCCCCCUGGUAUUCCGGGGGGCAUGCCUGUCCGAGCGUCAUUGCUGCCCUCAAGCACGGCUUGUGUGUUGGGCCCCGUCCUCCGAUCCCGGGGGACGGGCCCGAAAGGCAGCGGCGGCACCGCGUCCGGUCCUCGAGCGUAUGGGGCUUUGUCACCCGCUCUGUAGGCCCGGCCGGCGCUUGCCGAUCAACCCAAAUUUUUAUCCAGGUUGACCUCGGAUCAGGUAGGGAUACCCGCUGAACUUAAGCAUAUCAAUAAGCGGAGGA
RNAcentral lists this unclassified non-coding RNA (344 nucleotides) under soil metagenome. Its description in RNAcentral is "partial contains 5.8S ribosomal RNA, internal transcribed spacer 2, and large subunit ribosomal RNA". The stretch from base 1 to 118 matches the Rfam family "5.8S ribosomal RNA", at positions 35 to 154 of the family's 154-position model. The record is from RNAcentral.